RNAcentral lists this ribosomal RNA (1432 nucleotides) under metagenome. RNAcentral describes it as "bacterial SSU rRNA". It matches the Rfam family "Archaeal small subunit ribosomal RNA". The record is from RNAcentral.
GUUGAUCCUGCGGGAGAUUGCUGCUAUUGGAAUUCGAUUGAGCCAUGCAAGUCAAGGGGCUCUUCGGAGCACCGGCAGAACGCUCAGUAACACGUCGAUAAUCUGCCCUUAAGCUUGGGAUAACCUCGGGAAACUGAGGCUAAUACCAAAUAUGGGAGAUGCUUUGGGGAGACUUUUCCCUUAAACGUAAGGCUUAAGGAUGAGACGGCGGCGGAUUAGGCUGUUGGCGGGGUAACGGCCCACCAAACCAAAGAUCCGUAGGGGCCUUGAGAGAGGUAGCCCCGAGAAGGACACUGAGAUACUGGUCCUAGCCCUACGGGGUGCAGCAGGCGCGAAACCUUUACAAUGCACGAAAGUGUGAUAAGGGAAUUCCAAGUGCUUAUGCUUUGCAUAGGCUUUUGCCAAGAGUAAAAAUCUUGGCGAAUAAGUGGUGGGUAAGACUGGUGCCAGCCGCCGCGGUAACCCCAGCGCCACAAGUGGGAGUCGAUUUUAUUUGGCCUAAAGCGUCCGUAGCCGGUUUGGUAAAUCUUUUGUGAAAUCGUUCGGCUUAACCGAACGGCGUGCAGAAGAGACUGCUAGACUAGGAACCGGGAGGAGUCAGAGGUAUGCUAGGGGGAGCGGUAAAAUGCUAUAAUCCCUGGUAGACCACCUGUGGCGAAGGCGUCUGACUAGAACGGAUUCGACGGUGAGGGACGAAAGCCAGGGGAGCGAACCGGAUUAGAUACCCGAGUAGUCCUGGCUGUAAACGCUGCGAGCUAGGUGUUGCAUAUUCUACGGGAAUAUGCAGUGUCGAAGCGAAGGUGUUAAGCUCGCCGCCUGGGAAGUACGGUCGCAAGACUGAAACUUAAAGGAAUUGGCGGGGGAGCACCACAAGGGGUGCGGCGUGCGGUUUAAUCUAACUCAACGCAGAGAAUCUCACCAGAUGCGACGGUAGGAUGAAAGUCAGCCUAAAGGGCUUACUUGACUAGCCGAGAGGUAGUGCAUGGCCGUCGUCAGCUCGUGCCGUGAGGUGUCCUCUUAAGUGAGGCAACGAGCGAGACCUGUACCUACACUUGCAAACAAGUCCUUUUGGAUGAUUGUGCACAGUGUAGGGACUGCCGUGGAAACGCGGAGGAAGGUGCAGGCUACGGCAGGUCUGUAUGCUCCGAAUCUUCUGGGCAACACGCGCGCAACAAUGGUAUGGACAAUGGGAUGCAACUCCGAAAGGAGGAGCUAAACCUCGAAACCAUAUCCAAGUCCAGAUUGAGGGCUGUAACUCGCCCUCAUGACGCUGGAAUCCCUAGUAAUCGGACGUCAACAUCGUCCGGUGAAUAUGUCCCUGCUCCUUGCACACACCGCCCGUCAAACCAACCGAGCAGGGUCUAGAUGAGCCGUGACUUAUUGGUUACGUCGAAUCUAGGCUCAGUGAGGUGGGUUAAGUCGUCACAAGGUA